This 497-nucleotide ribosomal RNA is filed under the name uncultured bacterium. Its description in RNAcentral is "partial 16S ribosomal RNA". It matches the Rfam family "Bacterial small subunit ribosomal RNA", at positions 28 to 507 of the family's 1533-position model. The record is from RNAcentral.
GAUGAACGCUGGCGACAGGCCUAAUACAUGCAAGUCGAGCGAACAGACGAUGAGCUUGCUGCUCUCACUAUACCGGCGGACGGGCGAGUAACACGAAGACAACCUGCAUAUAACACUUGGAUAACUACGGGAAACCGGAGCUAAUACCAGUUAAUAUAUUUAACCGCAUGGUUCAUGAGGGUAUGACGGUUUUGCUGUCACUAUUAGAUGGCGCCGCGUCGCAUUAGCUUGUUGGGAAGGUAACGGCAUACCAAGGCAACGAUGCGUAGCCGACCUGAGAGGAGGGUAGGCCCCACUGGAACUGAACCACGGCCCAGACCACUACGGGAGGCAGGAGUGGAGAGUGUACCACAGUGGGCGGAAGCCUGACGGGACCACGCCACGUGGGUGAUAAAGAUCUUCGGAUCGGAAUACUCUGUUAUUAGGAAAGAACAAAUGUGUAAGUAACUUUGCACGUCUUGAAGGUACCUACAGAGAAAGCCACGGCUAACUACGUG